GGACGUGAGGGCAGUCUGGCUGCAACAUCUGCCACCUCAUUGCUCGCCAGGAUUGAUGCGGUUGAUCUGGCUGGCUAAUCCGGUGCCCCCUUCCUCACUGCUCCAUGUGCAGCCCUCCCAAAGUUGUGCGCUCAGUCGAAGAGGACGGCUUUCCUCAGAUAGAGAUGGACUGGUCUCCGGUUGAGGGUAUCGGAGUAGCUGCGCUCACCUGCUAGAACCUCCAAACAAGCUCUCAAAGUGGCAGAGCUCAUACAAAGUUGGUUCUUGGGCAAAGGUACAAAACAUAAUAAUUAUGCAAAGAGACUUU
RNAcentral lists this small nuclear RNA (307 nucleotides) under Erinaceus europaeus (western European hedgehog). RNAcentral describes it as "7SK RNA". It matches the Rfam family "7SK RNA". From Rfam's summary of the family: 7SK was discovered as an abundant small nuclear RNA in the mid-70s but a possible function has only recently been suggested. Two independent studies have found that 7SK RNA binds the CDK9/cyclin T complex (known as elongation factor P-TEFb). P-TEFb activates transcription by phosphorylating the C-terminal domain of RNA polymerase II. Lineage: Eukaryota; Metazoa; Chordata; Mammalia; Eulipotyphla; Erinaceidae. The record is from Rfam by way of RNAcentral.